RNAcentral lists this ribosomal RNA (516 nucleotides) under Verticimonosporium ellipticum. Its description in RNAcentral is "eukaryotic LSU rRNA". It matches the Rfam family "Eukaryotic large subunit ribosomal RNA", at positions 66 to 590 of the family's 3401-position model. Lineage: Eukaryota; Fungi; Ascomycota; Sordariomycetes; Hypocreales; Hypocreaceae. The record is from RNAcentral.
CAACAGGGAUUGCCCCAGUAACGGCGAGUGAAGCGGCAACAGCUCAAAUUUGAAAUCUGGCCCCUAGGGUCCGAGUUGUAAUUUGUAGAGGAUGCUUUUGGUGCGGUGCCUUCCGAGUUCCCUGGAACGGGACGCCAUAGAGGGUGAGAGCCCCGUCUGGUUGGAUACCAAGCCUCUGUAAAGCUCCUUCGACGAGUCGAGUAGUUUGGGAAUGCUGCUCAAAAUGGGAGGUAUAUGUCUUCUAAAGCUAAAUAUUGGCCAGAGACCGAUAGCGCACAAGUAGAGUGAUCGAAAGAUGAAAAGCACUUUGAAAAGAGGGUUAAACAGUACGUGAAAUUGUUGAAAGGGAAGCGCUCAUGACCAGACUUGGGCUUGGCGAAUCAUCCAGCGUUCUCGCUGGUGCACUUUGCCUUGUCCCAGGCCAGCAUCAGUUUGUCGCGGGGGAUAAAGGCUUUGGGAACGUGGCUGCUCCGGCAGUGUUAUAGCCCAUUGCAUAAUACCCUGUGGUGGACUGAG